Molecule: long non-coding RNA, 1730 nt
Organism: Homo sapiens (human)
Lineage: Eukaryota; Metazoa; Chordata; Mammalia; Primates; Hominidae
Exons: 3
Source: RefSeq, a predicted model, not a curated record
GGCUGGGAGCGCGAACGCUGUGGGGACUGGAGGUGAGGCGGUGGGGCUUAGGAUGCGCAGGAGCCCAACGGUGGUCCGCAGUCGGGAGAGCAGUGCGGGGCUGCUUCCUCCCCACUUGGUCAAUAAGUCGCCCACGUGUCCGGCCUCGGUGGCUCCUGCCAGCCGGGUGAGCUCUGCAGCCGCUCUCUGUAGAGCCUAAAACCGUGAAAAGGCCGGGCCAGCGCCAAGCUGGGCGUCUUUACUGUAACACACCCGAGCACAGCCCAGCUCGCCUGCCCGCCACCGCCAUCCAGCCCCAGGGAGCCCCACACACUCCUGGAGCUUCAGCUGCCCCCUCUCUAGUGUUUACUUGAGAUCCAGCUUAGUCCUAGAAAAAGGAGCUGAAGCCUUAGAGAGCCUGUAACAGGAAUGUGGAAACUUCUCUCAUCCUAGAUCUCUCCAGCCCUAGAAACUACUGGCUACCCGUCCAGGCGUGGUGGCUCACGCCUGUAAUCGCAACACUUUGGGAGGCCAAGGCGGGUGGAUCACGAGGUCAAGAGAUCGAGACCAUCCUGGCCAACAUGGUGAAACCCGUCUCUACUAAAAAUACAAAAAAGCCGAGUGUGGUGGUGGGCGCCUGUAGUCCCAACUACUCCGGAGGCUGAGGCAGGAGAAUCACUUGAACCCGGGAAGCGGAGUUUGCAGUGAGCCAAGAUGACACCGCUGCACUCCAGCCAGGCCAACAGAGCAAGACUACGUCUCCAAAAAAAAAAAAAAACCUACUGGCUACCUAAGCCAUCCUGCAGUCUGUUUUAACACAGCAACCAGUAAUCCUUUUAAAACCUGUCAGGUCUAGCCGAGCGCGGUGGCUCAUGCCUGUAAUCCCAGCACUUUGGGAGGCCAAGGCGGGCGGAUCACCUGAGGUCUGGAGUUCAAGACCAGCCUGGCCAACAUGCUGAAACUGCGUCUCUACUAAAAAUACAAAAAUUAGCCAGGCAUGGUGGCAGGCGCCUAUAAUCCCAGCUACCUGGGAGGCUGAGGCAGGAGAAUCGCUUGAACACAGGAGGCAGAGGUUGCAGUGAGCUGAGAUCGCGCUAUUGCACUCCAGCCUGGGGGACAAGAGCGAGACUUCAUCUCAAAAACAAACAGGAAACCUGUCAGAUCAUGUGCAAGAAGUAAGCGAAGUGGUGAGAACUGGGUGGGGGAGACACAGCCCUCGACACAGGGAGAGCACCCCGUGCGGGAGGAGCCUUCAGUACAAGAGACUUGGUCUGCCAUCAAGUGGCUCUCUGCACUGUUGACAAUUGUCAGUCAUUUAAGACAGAGGAGGCCGGGCAUGGUGACUCAUGCCUGUUAUCCCAGCAUUUUGGGAGGCCAAAGCAAGUGGAUCACUUCAGGCCUGCAGUUCGAGACCACCUGGGACAACAUGGUUCAUUCACCUGUUGCCAACAACAUGAGGGAGUUUCUCCACAGCCCUUGAUUCCUGAAUUGUUCAACAAAUCAACAGUCACCAAUACAUUGACUUAAGGAGUAAACAAGCAGCUUUUCUCUACACACCACCGGGCACCCCAGGAAGGCGCAGCUCCCUGCUCCACCCCCGCCUCUUGGUGCCUGUAUCCAGCAGAAGGACCCAGCAGGAGGCUGAAUCCAAGCACUGCUCUCAGGCCACUCUAUCCUCAUCCCUGGAUCCUCCAGGGAACAAGAUAAAAAAAAAAAAAUCCUGUUUUCCUGCUUUCCAAAAUGGAGGGCCU